Drosophila miranda is the source of this 687-nucleotide long non-coding RNA. RefSeq lists it as uncharacterized. NCBI's taxonomy places the organism in Eukaryota, Metazoa, Arthropoda, Insecta, Diptera, Drosophilidae. The record is from RefSeq and is a predicted model, not a curated record. The transcript has 3 exons.
AAUCAAAAACUUAAGCAAAACAUCAGUUCUCUACACCCUGUCAAAUUUCAUAGAUAGUCAUAUAGUUCAAGCGAUGUCCAGACUGCCUAGAGGGUUUGCCCUCACUCCGGGGUUGGAACUCAACAACGAACUGAGCCAGAAGAUAGCGGUAUUCGAUGCCAUGACCAUUGAACGAGCGGAGCUAGAUCGCGAUAUCAGUCUAUUGCGCAAGCAACAGGCUGAUACUGAAGAUCGUCUGGCCGAGGACCUGGCCGAGGACGAGUUCCAGAGUUUAAUGAGUGGACAGCAAGUCGUGGAGCAGAGUUAUACAGACCUCGAAAAUAUUUUUAAUCAACAAAUUGGAUGCAUUGUCGAUAAGUUGGCUGCUAAAUAUGAGCGUAUUGUGUACCUCGAUAGCGACCUAACGAGGCUUAAGCAAUCUAUCGAGAAGGGUGUUGCUGCGGCCAAUGCGCAGUUGACAGCAGCGGCGUCCAUGUGAUUUCAAUGGAGAAGCAUUAAACCAAAUAUACAUAUCUGUGCGCGAUAGGCCAGAAAAGCUGCCUCCAAUUAAGUCCUAGCCCUGACGACAUAUUGCGGACCACUAUUUAUGUGAGGAGAGGUCAUAUUUAGUUUCUUGUGAUAUUUAUACUUGAUUUAAUUGAUACCACCGAUGGCGUCAUGUAAAAUAAAUAAAUAGCUGCAGUUUCA